This 483-nucleotide ribosomal RNA is filed under the name uncultured bacterium. Its description in RNAcentral is "partial 16S ribosomal RNA". It matches the Rfam family "Bacterial small subunit ribosomal RNA", at positions 30 to 507 of the family's 1533-position model. The record is from RNAcentral.
AUUGAACGCUGGCGGCAGGCCUAACACAUGCAAGUCGAGCGGAUGAAGGGAGCUUGCUCCUGGAUUCAGCGGCGGACGGGUGAGUAAUGCCUAGGAAUCUGCCUGGUAGUGGGGAUAACGUCCGGAAACGGGCGCUAAUACCGCAUACGUCCUGAGGGAGAAAGUGGUUGAUCUUCGGACCUCACGCUAUAAGAUGAGCCUACGUCGGAUUAGCUAGUUGGGGGGGUAUAGGCCUACCAAGUCGACGAUCCGUAACUGGUCUGAGAGGAUGAUCAGUCACACUGGAACUGAGACACGGUCCAGACUCCUACGGGAGGCAGCAGUGGGGAAUAUUGGACAAUGGGCGAAAGCCUGAUCCAGCCAUGCCGCGUGAGUGAAGAAGGUCUUCGGAUUGUAAAGCAUUUUAAGUUGGGAGGAAGGGCAGUAAGUUAAUACCUUGCUGUUUUGACGGUACCAACAGAAUAAGCACCGGCUAACUUCGUG